This is a long non-coding RNA of Pangasianodon hypophthalmus (striped catfish), 3868 nucleotides long. RefSeq lists it as uncharacterized. The transcript has 2 exons. NCBI's taxonomy places the organism in Eukaryota, Metazoa, Chordata, Actinopteri, Siluriformes, Pangasiidae. The record is from RefSeq and is a predicted model, not a curated record.
AGAGAGAGAGAGAGAGAGAGAGUGGUAGUCCCAACAGACCUGGAACAGACUCUGCCUCUCUCAGUCUCUCUCACCCUCUCUCUCCCUCUCUGUCUCUCAUACUCUCUCUCACUUUCCCUCUCUCUCUCUGCUUCUCUCCCUCUGCCUCUCUCCCUCUCCCUCUCUCUCAGUCUCUCUCAGUCUCAGCCUCUCUCCCAGUCUCUCUCUCCCCCUCUCUCCCUCUCUCUCAGUCUCUCUCACACACACUCUCCCUCUCUCUCUCUCUAUCUCUCUCUGCCUCGCGCGCACAGUAGGGUGGUGGUGGGUGGACACGCGUGUUGUUUUUGCUGCGCGUGAACUUCACCUUCAAACUUUUACGACACGCUGACUUCACUGCUGCUUUUUGUUUGUUUUUGUUGACGGAAGAAAUGAAAAAAAAAAACAUCUAAAAGAAACGGAACGGCUCGAGGAACUCAUCGUUGCUGCCGUUAUCAUUUAUCAGGAAGCGCGCGCGCUGCUGUUUGGUCGCCAAAUAUCCUAAUAUCAACUCUACGGGCAAAUUGAGGCUCUGAGGAGCGUGUGGUGUGCAGCUGGUGGAAGCACUGUGAUGGCGGCUAUGCUGUGGUGGAGAGGGUUCCUGGCACCGUGAUUUGGUGGACAAACAGAAGUAAAAAAAUCACAUUGCCAGGGAUUUCCACUCCUGCACGGCUCGCGUGAUGUUCAACAUCUGCUAUAACUGCACACAGGCGAACUUUCCAGCUGAGAUCAUUUCACCUUAUAGCUGUAGAAGGAAGACUGAAAAAAAAAAAAACAUGAAAGGAGUCAGUGGGUUCAUGUUGCUGUAUAUACAACUUUGACAUAACUUGGACAAAUUGCUGACAUUAGCUAAUCGUGAGGGUUGCCUUUGAUGCUGUGCAAGUUUUUGCAUGUUGUGGCGGUGCCUCUAAAUGAAAAGGUGUUCUGUCAUUGUAUUUGCAAUCUCUGUGGAACCCAGAUCAUUUAAGCACAGUUUCUUCAGUAUGUUUUCCAAACUCAGUAACACAAGCAGUGAAUCACGUCUUUGGAAAUAUCUCAUAUAAGGGGAACUCCUUUUCUCUUGUGCUAACAUGCUAGUCUAGCAAAUCACCUUGACUUUUAAUGAUCAGCUAGAGUUAAUUUCUUAAGGUUUUUGUGAUUCGUACGACUAUCAACUGCUUUUUCGCCUCAUGUGCCGUCUCAUCACUUGCUCGCGGCGCAGAGCUUAGCUAAUUGGUGAGCAUUGAUCCAUUAAAUAUACUGUUCACAGUGGCUAAGUUCAGCGUCUGCAGUGAGAAAGCUAACAGGAAGUUGCAAAGCUCUCCUGGAUUUCAACCAGUCACUGUGGUGAUGCGUAAAAGAGCCUAACGGAUGGGAUAAUGAAUGAAAGGACUGAUUUGAUCUGCCAGGUAGGCAUAGAAGUGUUUGCUCUAAAUGUCAAACCAGUUACGGCUUGGCGGUUUUCAGUUAACGCUCCCUCGAAAGCCAUUUUGGCUCUAAAUAAUAGAGUUGAUUUACAUCUCAAUCCUGCCCUCAUAUCUGGAGUAGGCAUCAGGUCAGACUACUGUUAGAGUGGAGAUUAAUGUCAAAUUGGGAAGUUCACAUUUCACAUUUCAGCUACUCAAACAUGUCCAACACACUUUAUUUCUCAGUUGUACAAUUCAUGUGUAGCUGUUAUUGUAUGUAAUAAUGAUAUCUCUUCUCUUGUUGGGAUUAAAGAAACAGAAAUGAAAUUUAAACAGUUUCCCUCUGAUAAAAAAAAAAAAAAAACAGUCGAUCAUCCAAGAUAUGCUUGGAGUCUGUUCCAAACAUUUUGCUUCUUUAGUUUUGCACUGGAGCUUCGAGGCUGUUAAUAUAGAUAUGUAUGAAUUUAUUCGUGAAUCAUUUGCAGGAGUGUUUCCUCCAGAAAUAUGGUGUUCGUGAAAAUCCAGUUAGUUGGAAAAACUUUUCUUUUCUGAGUUUGUGUAAAUUUACAUAUAAGGAAACUCACUAAUGUGAACCUCGAUUGUUUAGUUUUAAAUCUUAUAAUUGUCGAUGACUUACUGCAAUUUUAUAUAUAGAUUAUUCUGUCAAGUUUAAAUCACUUAUUUAUUUCAAUUACACACCAAUUUAAUGAACAUUUUGAAACUCAGUCAAAAUGUUCAUAUUCAUAUUCAUAUUCAUGACUUGAAAGAAAGCAAAAAUAAGAUAAAUAAAACUAGAUGUUCAAUUAGGACAAAAGUAAUGGCGCUCUAUAAAAGGCAGAAGAAGUAGUGUGUGUCUACGAGAGCUGACAUGCUGCAGUGGCAGAGCUGCAUUACUGGAAGAGUUAGCACACGCCAUGCUUUAGUCAUCAUUUUGCCAUUUUCAGAUCUCUGUGAGCUUUGCCUUUUAUGCAAAUUUGUGGGCGUCGGUAAAUGCUGUGAAUGCAAUUAGCAGUUCAUGGUUGAUUCACGUUUAUCAGCAAGUGCACGCGAGUGCAAAUAAAAUCAGCUAAAAUUUUGUAAGUCUAGCAGGAAGUUUUACUUUGGAUUGGCCUAUGAAAACAUUCACUCACAAUGAGUUACAUUAUCUGGUGGACUGCAGUCCGGAUGCAGAUGCAGUAAAGUCAUUCAGCAGGCCAAACAGUACUGGAGAAAAAAAAGUACUAUAGCAACGUAUGAAAAAAAAGUGUCCGUAGUUCAGCAACUCCUCUGUUGUGGUUUAUCCAAUCAUGUGCAUUUAUGUAAAUUAUUUAGCUGAAGGCAGCUCAUCAGACCAGUUUGUUAUCUGAUUCAAGUUCAGAAUUGAAGUGUCUUAUCUGUUCAGUGUAUGGCUUCAGUCAAAAGUGCUAAUGUGAAACUCCACUACAAAACAAAAUUUAACUACUUUGAAUUACUUAUAGCCAUAAACUAAUCACGAAUCAUUAAAAGAUCUUUAUCUCUAGUCACUUGUCCGGAUCUUAGUAAUUAAUACAUGUUGUGGAACUGGACCUUUAUAAAUUGUGUACAUUUCAGUAUACGUUUCAUUUCAGUGCAGUCAUCAUUGAGGGGUUCAUGAAGAUGAGGAAACUACAUAUAAUGUUUAAAAAGAGUGAGAAAUGCAGGGCAAAAUGAGGUAGAUUGCUCAGAGGGCCAAGGCCUCCGGUGCCUGCUGAGCUGGUAUCAGUGUGUCCACAAAGAGCUGGCUCAGCUCAGCAGGAACAGGAGUCCUGCCGCAUCCACCAUCCACUCCUCUCUCUCUUCUCAUACUGUCUGGGAAUACAGAAUUAUAUGGCUUUGAUGAAAUAUGAACUCCAUUGGAUAUGCAAGGUUGGGGUAAAUUUGCUGCAUCUCUAAUAAGUGCUGUAUCUGUUUAUAUUCAUUAUUCCACCACAACCGAGGCCACUGAAUCAGUCAGUCAUCAGUCACAUCUGGCUCUUGAAAUGUGUGACUUUUUACCUCUUAACCUAUUUCUGCCUGCUUUUCUUGUACCUACAGAAAAAAAACACCCUGUGGUGUUCCUGGGCGUUACGGACAGUCAGGGUGAAUUAUGGCCAGCUCCUUAUUUUAGGGCCUCUUUGUCACCUCCAUUUACGAGUGAAUAAUGGUCGUCAUAUAUCUCAGGUGCACCAUAGAUCUCGCCUCGUUACACCGUUUUUGCACGCAGGAGUCUAACUUUAGCUUUCAUCCUUUUCAUGUCUGGAAGGUGCAGUUGCUAUAAGAGCAGGGUGAGAUUUACAGCUGCCUGUGAAAGAAGAGCCUCGAGGUGUCAAUCGGCUAUCGGCUUUCACGAUGAAAACUCCAUCACUCGUGAUUCUGUGUGAUAAACAUUCAGUCCUCUUGAACACUGCAUGGCUUCUAAUAUUGGAGUUCUCUUUUACACGAAAUGCUUUGAGGCUAAUGUGCAAGGCUAAUAAAGCCAACAAAUAAUGGAA